This 253-nucleotide ribosomal RNA is filed under the name uncultured bacterium. Its description in RNAcentral is "partial 16S ribosomal RNA". It matches the Rfam family "Bacterial small subunit ribosomal RNA", at positions 524 to 776 of the family's 1533-position model. The record is from RNAcentral.
UACGUAGGGUCCGAGCGUUGUCCGGAGUUACUGGGCGUAAAGCGCGCGCAGGCGGCUCGUCAAGUCCGGCGUGAAAGCCCCCGGCUCAACCGGGGAGGGUCGUUGGAGACUGGCGAGCUUGAGGGCGGGAGGGGCCGGUGGAAUGCCCGGUGUAGUGGUGAAAUGCGUAGAGAUCGGGCGGAACACCUGUGGCGAAGGCGGCCGGCUGGGCCGACCCUGACGCUGAGGCGCGAAGGCGUGGGGAGCGAACGGG